UACAGAGGGGGCAAGCGUUGUUCGGAAUUACUGGGCGUAAAGAGUGUGUAGGCGGUGCUCCCAGUCUGUUGUGAAAUCUCCCGGCUUAACUGGGAGGGUGCAGCGGAAACUAGAGUGCUAGAGGGUGGGAGAGGUAAGCGGAAUUCCUGGUGUAGCGGUGAAAUGCGUAGAUAUCAGGAGGAACACCUGUGGUGUAGACAGCUUACUGGACCACUUCUGACGCUGAGACACGAAAGCGUGGGUAGCAAACAGG
This 253-nucleotide ribosomal RNA is filed under the name uncultured bacterium. RNAcentral's name for it is "partial 16S ribosomal RNA". It matches the Rfam family "Bacterial small subunit ribosomal RNA", at positions 524 to 776 of the family's 1533-position model. The record is from RNAcentral.